Molecule: long non-coding RNA, 684 nt
Organism: Oxyura jamaicensis (ruddy duck)
Lineage: Eukaryota; Metazoa; Chordata; Aves; Anseriformes; Anatidae
Exons: 2
Source: RefSeq, a predicted model, not a curated record
GAGCCCCAGCGCCGCAGGUUUGUCGUCUGCUGGCCUGUGCCUGGGGCUGGAGCGGGGCCCUGAGCCCGGCUACUGCGUCUCGCCUUUCCUCGGCAAGGCUCUGCAAAGCCAGCAGUUGGUUCUGCACCUCCUGGGGGCCGUGUGGCUGAAUUAUUGAUGGCGGGAGGUGAAAAGCAAUAAACAAGAAAUCAGCCAAAUUGCUAGCGUGAGGGAAGAACAGAAAUGCAGCAGAGGAGAGCAGCUUCCUAAGAUGUCUUCCUUGGGGCCAGGGGCUCCCAGUAAGGGAAGGGGAGUCAGCACUUGGAGGAAAAAUUGUAAGCACCUGUUCACAGGAGAAAAAUACCAGGACUGCAGCUGAGAUCUGCAAAUUUCACCUCUGCUUUCCAAAGGUACAACAGACAUGAUGCUGUCCAGGAGAAGGCAAGGAUGGUUUUGCCCUGAUGGAUUUGGAGCUCCUGUGAGAGCUGUCUGGGGGGUUGCUUUGGUUAGCAAAAGCAUCCUGAGGCUGUGAUAUAGCCUGAAAUAUCUUUGGUGCUCCAUGAUACCUAGAUAUUAACUUUGCUACAUCCCUUGUCUCACGGCCACUAAAUUAAUGAAGGAAUUAGCAUAAAGAUGCCUCUACCGACAUGCAGCUUUCCCUGACGUUGGCGGCACCACUCCCACCUUGUUUGCCAGCAGAAACGG